AGGUUAGUUUUAGCCUUAACAAUGUGGUAUGCAAGCUGAAACUGAAAAACUACAAGCAGGCUGAGACGAUGUGCACACCUAAGGCACGUUCAAUAAAUAUAAUCAGAACACUGUAUGGUAGUAUUGUCAUGAUUCGUGGGUUUUUAAAGAAUACAAACACUCACUUCAAGAUUCAUUGUGGGUUUCUUGGUUGAUAAUUGUUGGGGUUUAU
Molecule: long non-coding RNA, 211 nt
Filed under: Vitis vinifera (wine grape)
Lineage: Eukaryota; Viridiplantae; Streptophyta; Magnoliopsida; Vitales; Vitaceae
Description: long non-coding RNA (VVIN_LNC006574)
Source: RNAcentral